UCCUACGGGACGCAGCAGUGGGGGAUAUUGCACAAUGGGGGGAACCCUGAUGCAGCGACGCCGCGUGGGCGAUGGAGCGCCUCGGCGCGUAAAGCCCUAUCAGCAGGGAAGAAGAUGACGGUACCUGACUAAGAAGCCCCGGCUAAAUACGUGCCAGCAGCCGCGGUAAUACGUAUGGGGCAAGCGUUAUCCGGAUUUACUGGGUGUAAAGGGGGCGCAGACGGCGAUGCAAGCCAGGAGUGAAAGCCCGGGGCCCAACCCCGGGACUGCUCUUGGAACUGCGUUGCUGGAGUGCAGGAGGUGCG
RNAcentral lists this ribosomal RNA (305 nucleotides) under uncultured bacterium. Its description in RNAcentral is "bacterial SSU rRNA". It matches the Rfam family "Bacterial small subunit ribosomal RNA", at positions 337 to 659 of the family's 1533-position model. The record is from RNAcentral.